This is a non-coding RNA of Benincasa hispida (wax gourd), 2540 nucleotides long. The record is from RefSeq and is a predicted model, not a curated record. Lineage: Eukaryota; Viridiplantae; Streptophyta; Magnoliopsida; Cucurbitales; Cucurbitaceae.
GGCAAUGUUGCAAUUUGAAACAUAUGAAGGGCUUUUCCGUUGGUUACGCAUGAUAGUUGCUUACAUGACUCUCAUGGCGUGCGUGUGGGGAGAGCGCUUCUGCAAAAGAGCUAUUCAAUUCACGAGAAACUGUCAAAGCAGAUUGUGGAGGUACAAGAUUUCGAACGAUGAUCUAAGCGAUUCAGAGGUCUCUGCUCUGAAUGUCCCAAAUUCCAGCAAAGAGACGAAAUAAACAAAUGAAGAUCGUUACCGCUUAAUGAUUUUCAGAAAAUCUGAAAAGUGCGUGCUGGACGUUUGAACUUCUAAGAGUUAGAGAUCUUCAACGAAAUGAUGAUUGCUGAAAUUUCUAGUAUAAUCAAGAAUUGUUUCUCAAAGAUUCCGCAGUCGAAUUUUUGCUGAUUAGGAAAGGGAAACUUGGAAUUGGUGACCUUCUUGGUAAGCAAUUUGGAAAUUCUAGGGGGUCAUGGACAGUGGUGUUUCUAAGCACAUUUCGAUUUAAGUAUGUCUUCGUGGGAUAGUCUUGGGGACGUUGCUGGUGUGGCCCAGCUGACGGGUAUCAAUGCAGUUCAGCUGAUUUCAAUGAUUGUAAAAGCAGCAAAUACCGCAAGGAUGCACAAGAAGAACUGCAAGCAAUUUGCACAGCAUCUCAAGUUGAUCGGGAACUUAUUGGACCAACUCAAGAUCUCAGAGCUGAAGAAAUAUCCUGAGACUCGAGAGCCUCUAGAGCAACUGGAAGAUGCCUUAAGAAAAUCAUACAUUUUGAUCAAUAGUUGCCAGGAUCGUAGCUAUCUCUAUUUGUUGGCUAUGGGUUGGAAUGUUGUUUAUCAAUUCAGGAAGGCUCAAAGUGAAAUCGAUAGAUACCUAAGGCUCGUCCCUCUGAUUAAUUUGGUGGACAAUGCACGAGUCAGAGAGAGGCUUGAUGAUAUUGAAAAGCAUCAAUGCGAGUAUACAUUCGAGGAGGAUGAUAGAAAGAUCCAGGAUGUGAUCCUCAAACCAGAAUGUAUCAAGUACGAUGCUUCCAUAUUGAAAAAAACUCUUUCUCGUUCCUACCCAAACUUGGGGCUCCAUGAUGCGCUUCAAAAGGAAAAUGAAAAACUUCAGCUUGAGCUGCAAAUAUCUCAAUCUAAUAUGGAUGUUGGGCAAUGUCAAAUAAUUGAACGAUUAUUUGAUAUCACAGAAGCCUUAUCUGCCAAUUAUUUUAUGGAAAAAGAUUUUCAGAGAGGCAUUCCGACACAACAUGAAUAUAAUUAUUCUGAUGCCAAUGGUGGAACUACUCAUGCGUAUGAUGGAAGUUUUAACAAGAAUAGAGAUGCUAUUAUGGCAAGAAAGGGAUCAUCAAUUUCAUCAAGACGUGAUCUGCUAGCCAGCAAUUGUCAACAUGAAGAAUGGCAUGCUGAUUUGUUUGGUUGCUGUUCACAACCUUAUCUUUGUAUAAAGACAUUUUUCUGUCCUUGUUGGACAUUGUCAAAGGUUGCUUCUGUCGCCACCGACAGGCAUCUUCAGCGGAUGCGUGUAACGAGUUGAUGGCAUAUUCUUUGGUGUUCUCAUGCUGUUGUUACACUUGCUGUUUCCGACGAAAACUCCGGAAUAUGUUAAAUAUCAAGGUAACUAAUGUUCUAACUUAUAAAUAGAGACUUUCCUUCUUCAAUUAAACCGGUUUUUUCAGUCCAUUCCAUCCACCAUCCACCCUUGCGUGAAAGAAUAGCUCUCAAUUCAGUGAGGUAAUGAUUUUGAAAUAAUUAAAAUCUUAUUAUGAAACAAUCUUGCAUUCUGUUAAGGAAGAAACUAGAAAAAUAACAAAUCCUAUUAGGUUUAGGCCACAAAUUCCACCCCAAAAACUAUAUUUUCAUUGAGCCUCAGCUCUUUAUUCACUCAAAAUCAUAAUCAAAAUCAUUUAUGGUUUGAUUUUACACUUUUAAAUAUAAUUUUCAUACUAACAAAAUUGAUUUUGAAUUAAUAAAACCAUAUUUUGAGAUACUUUUGAAAUGAUAAAAGUGAUUUUUACUUUUAUAACAUCGUUCUCAAACGUAUCUUUAAAAGGUUAGAUAGUGAGGGUAGCAAUAUGCUUCUUUUGGAAGCUUAGAUGUUCGUAUCCCAUGGAGAUGCCAAUGACAAAGAUUGUUUCUCGAGCUCAUGACCUAGCAGCCCAUAGUUGCUAGCCGCGAGUAUUAAAUUACUUGGAUGCUUUGUGAGUUUCUGUAAUUACGAUCCGCUUCUUGCUUCGAGUCCUCUUGCUCUACUCUAUAUCUAUUUGACGUUCGUGUGUACUUUCUAGGAUAAUGCAUUUUUAUAACGUAGUUCGUAACUUGUUUUUUGGACAUGUAUAACCUUUGAUUACCAAUCCGAAUUAGUGAUGCACGUCUUUCGCUUCUUGGUCACUUUCUUUUGCAGGGUGGCCUUGUUGAUGAUUUUCUCUCUCACUUCCUGUGUUGUUGCUGUGCGCUCGUCCAAGAAUGGCGAGAAGUAGAAAUGCGUUGCGGUACGGAGGACACAAAAACCAUCCCCCCACCAUUGCAAUACAUGGAAUCCUAAGAGGUAAC